GCUAAUGUUGACAGUGGAUGUAUCGCAAUGGCUUGUAGACAAGCAGCGAUCAGUUUGAUAUAGAAUCUUAUCCGGAUGGAGAAGCACCGGAUUGAAGAAGUUGCAACUCAGCGGCUACAGCAGGACAUUUCCGAAUGAUCUGCAAUCUGAAAAUGUGGAUAUCGCGUGCGCCAUAACACCAACAGCAGAACGGUUAUCCAAACAACAAAGAAAGGCACUGAGAGCUUCCAUCUCAAGAUGUGCUUGUGAGCUCAACCUCAGUCAACAGUAUCUCAUCAGCCCAAGCUGGACUUAUUAAAAACUUUCAUCAGUGUGACAGAGGAGCAUCACUCCCUGAUAGGGUGUGAGCGUCCGUGUGGAAUGACAGCGGGGCGAGAUGCCAAUCUUCUUAGGGGGCUUGACUGUGCCAGAGCCCUGGAGCCUGUGCCCUUAUGCCAAGGACAGGUAUGGUGGAACACUAGAUUUAGCCAAAUUUUAUAUACUUUAUUUUAUACAUUUUGUGCAACCUAUCGCAUGGUCUUUUCAAAAAUGUCUUAAUUUUAAUAAUGUCAUAAUGAAAAAAACACUUGGUUAAAAAUGUCUUUUAGAGUCAUAUUUAUAAAAUAUUUCUUGUAUUUAUAAAUAUAUGAUAAAACAAACUAUUCAGAGGACGCAAAUUCAUUUUACAUUCUAAACAAAAUGACAAUCAUAAACCUAGUACCAUUCAAAAAUUGAACAAGGUUUGUGGUCACUUAUGCAAAAAUGCAGUCAAAAACAGUCAUAUUGUGAAAUGUAUAUACAAUUUAAAAUAGUUUUUCAUUUUAAUAUAUUAAAAAUGUUAUUUAUUCCUAUGAUGGCGAAACAAAUUUGCAAUAAAAUCGCAUGAUCCUUC
Megalobrama amblycephala (Wuchang bream) is the source of this 871-nucleotide long non-coding RNA. RefSeq lists it as uncharacterized. The transcript is spliced from 3 exons. Lineage: Eukaryota; Metazoa; Chordata; Actinopteri; Cypriniformes; Xenocyprididae. The record is from RefSeq and is a predicted model, not a curated record.